GGAAGGAUCAUUAACACGUAUCCAACGUUAAACCCCCCGUGCACCUUCAUUGUAAUUCUGCGUUAACACGAAUUGCCUGGCGGAAUAACGAAUCGCGAUCACAACUUCACACGAGGUGCUGAAGAUGGACCUGGGAGAUCUUGAGAAGCGCGUUACAAAACUGCUGUUUGGAACGGAAGGGUCCUGAAGCUAGGCGCGUUUCCAUGUGUCUUCGGGAAAGUCGGUAACUCUGAAGAGGUAUUCAACAAGACCACACCUUGGGUAACACCGGGGUCCGCCUUAAAACACCGCAUGGGAACAACAAGGUCCCUUGGCUUGGCGAGGUGUCUUCACGAAAAUCUUUUUGGCGUAGAGCUAUGGGUGCCCUGGCAGGCGCAACCGAAGGAACCUAAGGGAUGGGGACUACCGAGAGUGCACUUUAGCGGGUGUGUUUUUGGCGGACCUUGAUUUCUUGACUUCGCGCCUCGUAUCCAGGUUGCCGUAGACUUCACCUUUUGUGGUUGUUAGAGCACGAAUUGUUUACUCGCAAGGUUUCGGGUUGGCGCAUCCCCGCGUGUCUGGCCCACCGCGGAACAACCUCACUAGACCGACACCGAAGCGCCGGAUCCUAGCGGGUUCAGGCAUCGGAAACCCCGAACAACUGUUAGCAAUGGAUAUCUUGGCUCUCGCAACGAUGAAGAACGCAGCGAAAUGCGAUACGUAAUGCGAAUUGCAGAAUUCAGUGAAUCAUCGAAUCUUUGAACGCAAAUUGCGCUCUCGGGAUACCCCUGAGAGCACACCUCGCUGACUAUCGGUUUCAAACACCUAACCUCACCUUGUGUGUUGGUAAAACAGUUGAGCGUUAUGCUGUGCAUCCCCCGCCGGGGACAUGGCUUAUCGCUUUAAAACCAUUCAUUCAGCUCAUUGAAUGACUUCUUGCAAGUUGGGUUCACUUCGGUGAAGAAGAUUUACAAGGGGUCAUUUCGACGGCGAGCAAACAUCGCGGAAAGGGCAAUCAUAAUGAAAGCAGCAGUUUGACUAGAGAAAGCUGAGGAUCACUUUCGGGUGGUCUUUGGGGAAAGCUGAGGAUCAUCUUUCGAGGUGGUCUUUGGGGAAAGCUGAGGAUUGCCUUCGGGUGGUUCUUGGGGACUUCUGGGGACUGCCUUCGCGGGUGGACCUUGGCGGACUCUGAGGAUUGCCUUGGGCUGAGGAUUGCCUUGGGGUGGACUUUGGGGAAAGCUGAGGAUUGCCUUGGGGUGGUUCUUGGGGACUUCUGGGGACUGCCUUCACGGGUGGACCUUGGCGGACUCUGAGGAUUGCCUUGGGGUGGACUUUGGUUGACUCUGAGGAUUGCCUUAAUUGGUGGACCUUGGUGGACUCUGAGGAAUGCCUUCGGGUGGACCUUGGUGGACUCUGGACGAAUAGCAGUGGACGUUGUGGUUUGUGCUUCUGUGACGUGAUUUGAACGGGGAGUUGGGCGGGAAUAACGCGCGGAACGGCGACCAGGUGUCUCACACGCACCUAGUAUUGUGGUUCUGUACGGGUCUCGUCGGGACGCUCCGAUUGAAUCAGCUCGAAGUUGACCUUGACGCUUCGAGUGCUGGAGUAGACAACAAGCCCGUGGGUUCGCUGGAGAAGAGGAGAAAGGGAAAUGUAACAAGUUUUCCUUUUUCUUUUUUUUUGGCUUGCUCACACCCCCUUUCUGAAUCAGAUGUCAGCUGAAGUGAGAAUACCCCCUGAAUUUAAGCAUAUUACUAAGGGGAGGAAAAGAAACUAACAAGGAUUCCCCUAGUAACGGCGAGUGAAGCGGGAAGAGCUCAAACUUGAAAUCCGUGGGUGUAACAACUCAUGGAGAUGUAGUCUGGAGACGCUCUCUCAGUGCGAGGCCGGCUAUAAGUCCCUUGGAAUGGGGCAUCAUAGAGGGUGAGAAUCCCGUUUAUGAGCUGGAUCUCUGUGCGUACGAGGAGCGUUCCGAGAGUCGCGUUGCUUGGGAGUGCAGCGCAAAUUGGGUGGUAAAGUUCAUCUAAAGCUAAAUACCGGCGAGAGACCGAUAGCGAACAAGUACCGUGAGGGAAAGAUGAAAAGAACUUUGAAAAGAGAGUUAAAUAGUACUUGAAAUUGUUAACAGGUAAGGGCAGGAAACCAGUAAUUCUUGGGCUUACUUGCGGUCGCUUCACGGCAGCCGUUACUUAGGCUCGGGAGAGUCAUCAUCAGUUAGAAUCGUUGGAGAAAGCGCGGAUGGUGGUGCUUCGGCUCUGUCGCGGCACACCGCUGCGUCCUACAUUGGUUCUGACUGAGGAACGAAAACCCGCACGCUUCGGCGUACGGCACGCUGUGGCCUGUUUGCCCUAGCGCGUGAGAGACCAAAGGUCUGUCUGUGCAAAAGGUGAAUACUGCUGCGGAUGUGUCAGUUGCUGGGUUCGCGAUGAUGACGAAAUGGUUUUCUUCCACCCGUCUUGAAACACGGACCAAGGAGUCUAACAUCUAUGCGAGUAUUUGGGUGGCAAACCCUGAUGCGCAAUGAAAGUAAAGCGGUCCUUGUGGCCGUGAGGUAGGAAUCUUACCUUCGGGUGGGAGGCACUAUCGACCGAUCGUUCGCUUGCGAAAGAUUUGAGUAAGAGCAUAGCUGUUGGGACCCGAAAGAUGGUGAUCUAUGCCUGAACAGGGUGAAGCCAGGGGAAACUCUGGUGGAAGCUCGUAGCGAUACUGACGUGCAAAUCGUUCGUCUGAUUUGGGUAUAGGGGCGAAAGACUAAUCGAACCAUCUAGUAGCUGGUUCCCUC
Molecule: unclassified non-coding RNA, 2761 nt
Filed under: uncultured fungus
Lineage: Eukaryota; Fungi
Description: sequence contains 18S rRNA gene, ITS1, 5.8S rRNA gene, ITS2, 28S rRNA gene
Rfam family: Eukaryotic large subunit ribosomal RNA (bases 1689-2761)
Source: RNAcentral